GUUUCCUAUAUUUUUGAAAAUGCCAUUUUCCAGUGUCUGUUUCUGCGUUUCCCCGUGUCCUCGUUUCCCUUUCCGUUCUACAUAAGGAAUAAUUAUGAUGGUUGAGGCAAUCUGCACUCGGUGAUGUAGAGUUGGGUUAAUAGGAUAAGUCUCUGCUGCUUACUUAAAAAUGUAACUUGUGAUUUUAAUUCAAAUAUAAUUGCUAUUUUUAGUGGUGAAAUUGGCGUCACUUUUUCUUAUUUUCUAUCAAAUCAUAAGCGUGACUUGCUUGCAGGUGGGAAGGGCGUGCAUAGGUCACAUGUGCAUUACUCAAAUUCCUGGAAACUGGACCUUUUUCUAUACCUUUUUCCCAUUUGAAUAGUCCAUAACAUGUCAAAAAGAGGUUAAAUUAAAUGUUUUUAUGGAAUUUCCCUGGCAUUUACCAUUAAUUCUGAUUAAAAUGGAAUUACCUUCGGAGGUUAGUUUGAACUACUAUGUAGUUAGUAAAUUGGGCUUGGAUAUUUUGGUGUUCUUCGCAGUAAGUUUUUAUGGGUUUGAAUUACUAUAUUUUGGAUAUUUUCUGGAUAUUACUGCCAAAAAAUUAUAAAAUGAGAAUAUCACUGGACUCUAUAAUACAGGUUACAGUUGGGCACUGGCGAGAGUUGAUAUAUUUUGGAAUUUUAAUUUGGGAAGAAUAUGUUUGGUACAUAAUUUUAAAGAUUAAACAGUGCCGGCAAAAGUUAACUACUGUAUAUGAAAUUAUGGAAAUCCAUUUGUCCUUUUUACCUGUGAAUGUGAUAAGUUGCAAUAGUAGUUCAUGAACAACUUCAAUAGCAUGACUAUUACUGGCAUCUAUUCCAUAAUCUUUUAACUAUUUACAUCACUGGCAAUGAUUCAUUACUAUAGCUUCCAUCUUAGGCACUUCAAAUUUACUUUUCAACAUUUGAUUUCAUUUGCCAAAAACUCAUUAGAAUCCUAUAAUCAAACUACUUAUUUAGCUGCAUGACCUUAUUGUAUACACCCAAUGUGCAAGGAGGAAUUUCAUUCCCAGAUCAGAAACGCCUUAGUAAAAUAAUUACUUGCUAUGGGAAAUUGCAAAUAUGUGGAGACAUGAAUUCAUGCAAGAGUGAUAAUUGAUGUGAACUAUUGACUGAUUUUGUGGUGCAUUUCUUUGUGUUGACACCUUUCCUUAACUGUUGUUCAUGGUGGUGUUACCUUCUUUCUGUUAUGUACAGUGUGUUAGGCUUUUUCCCCUUGUCAUUGUUUUUCUAUUAUGCAAAGUCUUCAUGGUUUAUGAGUUUCAGUUAGUCUUUAGUUUAAGUAGCUGAUAUUGUUGCAAUGGAAAUCUUGAUCAUGUUUGAUAUUUGCAUUUCACUUUUUGUACACUGAUCUAAUAUUGUUCAGUCAUAAAUCAUAAUAUUUUCUAAGCUUUUUGUUUGAGGAAUGUUUGUGCUGAUGUUUCAGG
RNAcentral lists this unclassified non-coding RNA (1444 nucleotides) under Hevea brasiliensis (rubber tree). Lineage: Eukaryota; Viridiplantae; Streptophyta; Magnoliopsida; Malpighiales; Euphorbiaceae. The record is from RNAcentral.